Molecule: unclassified non-coding RNA, 148 nt
Organism: Pongo abelii (Sumatran orangutan)
Lineage: Eukaryota; Metazoa; Chordata; Mammalia; Primates; Hominidae
Rfam family: Metazoan signal recognition particle RNA
About the family: The signal recognition particle (SRP) is a universally conserved ribonucleoprotein. It is involved in the co-translational targeting of proteins to membranes. The eukaryotic SRP consists of a 300-nucleotide 7S RNA and six proteins: SRPs 72, 68, 54, 19, 14, and 9.
Source: Ensembl
GCUGGGUGUGUUGGCACCUGCCUGUAUCCCUAGUUACUUGGGAGGCUGAGGCAGGAGAAUUGCUUGAGCCCAGGAGUUCAGGGCUGCAGUGAGCUAUGAUCUUUCCACUGCACUCCAGCCUGGGUGACAAAGUAAGACCCUGUCUCUU